Molecule: ribosomal RNA, 254 nt
Filed under: uncultured bacterium
Lineage: Bacteria
Description: partial 16S ribosomal RNA
Rfam family: Bacterial small subunit ribosomal RNA
Source: RNAcentral
CACGUAGGGGGCAAGCGUUGUCCGGAUUUAUUGGGCGUAAAGAGCUCGUAGGUGGCUCGGCAAGUCGGGUGUUAAACCCCCAGGCUCAACCUGGGGACGCCACUCGAUACUGCUGUGGCUAGAGUCCGGUAGGGGAGCGUGGAAUUCCUGGUGUAGCGGUGAAAUGCGCAGAUAUCAGGAGGAACACCAGUGGCGAAGGCGGCUCACUGGACCGGAACUGACGCUGAGGCGCGAAAGCGUGGGGAGCAAACAGG